RNAcentral lists this ribosomal RNA (441 nucleotides) under uncultured bacterium. RNAcentral's name for it is "partial 16S ribosomal RNA". It matches the Rfam family "Bacterial small subunit ribosomal RNA", at positions 338 to 795 of the family's 1533-position model. The record is from RNAcentral.
CCUACGGGAGGCAGCAGUGGGGAAUAUUGCACAAUGGGGGGAACCCUGAUGCAGCGACGCCGCGUGGGUGAAGGAGUAUUUCGGUAUGUAAAGCCCUAUCAGCAGGGAAGAACAAUGACGGUACCUGACUAAGAAGCACCGGCCAAAUACGUGCCAGCAGCCGCGGUAAUACGUAUGGUGCAAGCGUUAUCCGGAUUUACUGGGUGUAAAGGGAGCGCAGGCGGCGCGAUAAGCCUGGUGGGAAAGCCCGCGACCGAACCGCGGGACUGCAUUGGAAACUGGCGCGCUUGAGUGGCGGAGGGGUAGGCGGAAUGCGUGGUGUAGCGGUGAAAUGCGUAGAUAUUAGGAGGAACACCAGUGGCGAAGGCGGCUUACUGGACUGUAACUGACGUUGAGGCUCGAAAGCGUGGGGAGCAAACAGGAUUAGAUACCCCUGUAGUC